This 253-nucleotide ribosomal RNA is filed under the name uncultured bacterium. RNAcentral describes it as "partial 16S ribosomal RNA". It matches the Rfam family "Bacterial small subunit ribosomal RNA", at positions 524 to 776 of the family's 1533-position model. The record is from RNAcentral.
UACGUAGGGGGCUAGCGUUGUCCGGAUUUAUUGGGCGUAAAGAGCGUGUAGGCGGCCCGGUAAGUCCGCUGUGAAAGUCGAGGGCUCAACCCUCGAAUGCCGGCGGAUACUGUCGGGCUAGAGUCCGGAAGAGGCGAGUGGAAUUCCUGGUGUAGCGGUGAAAUGCGCAGAUAUCAGGAGGAACACCAAUGGCGAAGGCAGCUCGCUGGGACGGUACUGACGCUGAGACGCGAAAGCGUGGGGAGCAAACAGG